RNAcentral lists this ribosomal RNA (254 nucleotides) under uncultured bacterium. RNAcentral describes it as "partial 16S ribosomal RNA". It matches the Rfam family "Bacterial small subunit ribosomal RNA", at positions 524 to 777 of the family's 1533-position model. The record is from RNAcentral.
UACGAAGGGUGCAAGCGUUACUCGGAAUUACUGGGCGUAAAGCGUGCGUAGGUGGUGAGUUAAGUCUGUCGUGAAAGCCCCGGGCUCAACCUGGGAAUGGCGAUGGAUACUGGCUCGCUAGAGUGCGGUAGAGGAGAGUGGAAUUCCCGGUGUAGCAGUGAAAUGCGUAGAGAUCGGGAGGAACAUCAGUUGCGAAGGCGGCUCUCUGGACCAGCACUGACACUGAGGCACGAAAGCGUGGGGAGCAAACAGGA